This is a long non-coding RNA of Neodiprion virginianus, 256 nucleotides long. RefSeq lists it as uncharacterized. The record is from RefSeq and is a predicted model, not a curated record. The transcript is spliced from 3 exons. NCBI's taxonomy places the organism in Eukaryota, Metazoa, Arthropoda, Insecta, Hymenoptera, Diprionidae.
ACUAUUUCACAUAGUAUAUAUAGAAAAUUUAUGAUUCUACUUAAACCAAAUUCGUGGAAUAAUUGAACACAAUGAAUAAUUGAACGGGAUUUCAAUUAGUUUACACUAGAAAAUAGUAUGCCCCGCAUCACCAAUUCGGGACAAUGCAGUUGAAUAGUUGUUUGAUAUGACGAAUAGUUAUUAAUUUAAGGAAAACCAAAAAGACCAGUUCGUUAAUUGAUUCGAUGAUUACUGACUGACAAAAAUACAAUUGCUG